Phyllostomus discolor (pale spear-nosed bat) is the source of this 620-nucleotide long non-coding RNA. RefSeq lists it as uncharacterized. The transcript is spliced from 2 exons. Lineage: Eukaryota; Metazoa; Chordata; Mammalia; Chiroptera; Phyllostomidae. The record is from RefSeq and is a predicted model, not a curated record.
UUCCCCUUCCUUCUCCAGGAAUACCAGCGGGUGUGUGUUCUCAAGGGUCACAAAAGCCUUCCCUGAAACCCGAUCUUGAGGACAGGGACCCUGACCGGGAGUCAGCCCAGCCCUCUGCAGUGACCCACUUUUUAAUAACUUCCUCCCCUGCGAUCAGGUUCUGCCGGCACAGAUAACAGCAGGCCUGCCGCCUGGAAAGGCUCCUGGGAUAUUGACUCUGGCUCCGUCCCCUGGGGCUCCUGCCGCAUUGCGAGACCGGCAGCCAGCCAGUGAGUGCUCCCCAACACCUUUCAUCCGCGCCCCGCUUCACCGUGGGGCUGACUCAGCCAAGAGCUGAUGACGCUCACUUGUGAAUGGAGCGUUCCAAGCUGCUAUCCGGGCGCUGAGGCCCCACUGGCGCUCAGACCGCAGGCCACUUCCCCAGGCUCUGCCCCUGUGCGAUUCUCACAUCCACCUUGAAGCCGAUGGAAAGUUUGCCUGCAAGCAAAUUAAUUCCUCAUGACUCUACGAGAUGCAUAUUUAAUGCAUUUUUAAAAUAGAUACUGAAAGUCCUUUCCACAGCUAUUUCAGAUUAUUGACAGCAAAUUUUCUUUUAAAUGAAACUUUUAUAUGCAAAAUGA